Long non-coding RNA from Herpailurus yagouaroundi (jaguarundi), 739 nucleotides. RefSeq lists it as uncharacterized. The record is from RefSeq and is a predicted model, not a curated record. NCBI's taxonomy places the organism in Eukaryota, Metazoa, Chordata, Mammalia, Carnivora, Felidae. The transcript is spliced from 2 exons.
GGUUGUACUGACAGGUGUUAUGGGCGUCCACGGAGCAAUGACUAAGUGGUUAGCAGAGGAAUGGCGUAAAAGUAGUCUUGGGUGAGUGGUACGUGGGGUGUGAGAAAAUACAACCUUAAUAUACGUUGAAUGAAUACCUAUCCAGUUGAUUGAUGGUGGUUAUGAGAUAACAGAAAAUAUAUAUUGUUUUCUUCCCUCAGUCCUUGGCACGGAUAUCUGAAACCCAUGUAUAAUUUUAAGAGCACUAGGAUGAUCUCUUGUUUUAAUAUUUAUUUUUUGACCCCAUCUCUGACACAGUUCUCCUAAAAUCCUUGUGAAGUCCUAAGUGGUAAGAGCACUAGGAGAAUCUUUUUUUCAAAUAAGGUGACUCUGGCUGUGCUUCUGGAUGGCUCCCGGAUAGCUCAUUGGUCACUAGAAUGAUGAAACUCUGAUCAGAAGGUUGGAAUUUCAGCCCCAUCCCCUACCCUCCAGAGAGGGGAGAGAGGCUGGAAAUGGAAAUAAUAAUUGAUCAUGCCUACAUCAACAAACUUCCAUAAAAUCUCAGAGGUAUGGGGUUCAGAGAGCUUCCUAGCAUGUGAAUGUAUCCAUGUUUGGGGAAUGUGAUGCACCCCAGCUCCGUAGGGACAGAAGCUCCUGUGCUUGGGACCCUUCUACACCACACCCUAUGUCUUUCCUCAGCUGGCUGUUCAUUGUAUUCUUUCUCAUAUCCCUUAAUAAACGGAUAAAUAUAAGUAAAUGC